AUUGAACGCUGGCGGCAUGCCUUACACAUGCAAGUCGAACGGCAGCAUAGGAGCUUGCUCCUGAUGGCGAGUGGCGAACGGGUGAGUAAUAUAUCGGAACGUGCCCUAGAGUGGGGGAUAACUAGUCGAAAGACUAGCUAAUACCGCAUACGAUCUACGGAUGAAAGUGGGGGAUCGCAAGACCUCAUGCUCCUGGAGCGGCCGAUAUCUGAUUAGCUAGUUGGUGGGGUAAAAGCCUACCAAGGCAACGAUCAGUAGCUGGUCUGAGAGGACGACCAGCCACACUGGGACUGAGACACGGCCCAGACUCCUACGGGAGGCAGCAGUGGGGAAUUUUGGACAAUGGGGGCAACCCUGAUCUAGCAAUGCCGCGUGAGUGAAGAAGGCCUUCGGGUUGUAAAGCUCUUUUGUCAGGGAAGAAACGGUAGUAGCGAAUAACUACUACUAAUGACGGUACCUGAAGAAUAAGCACCGGCUAACUACGUGCCAGCCGCCGCUGUAA
RNAcentral lists this ribosomal RNA (502 nucleotides) under uncultured bacterium. Its description in RNAcentral is "partial 16S ribosomal RNA". It matches the Rfam family "Bacterial small subunit ribosomal RNA", at positions 30 to 523 of the family's 1533-position model. The record is from RNAcentral.